This 423-nucleotide ribosomal RNA is filed under the name uncultured bacterium. Its description in RNAcentral is "partial 16S ribosomal RNA". It matches the Rfam family "Bacterial small subunit ribosomal RNA", at positions 360 to 775 of the family's 1533-position model. The record is from RNAcentral.
AAUUUUGGACCAUGGGGGAAACCCUGAUCCAGCCAUCCCGCGUGUAUGAUGAAGGNCUNNGGGUUNUNAAGUACUUUUGGCAGNNNNNAAAAGGUACCUCCUAAUACGAGGUACUGCUGACGGUAUCUGCAGAAUAAGCACCGGCUACCUACGUGCCAGCCGCCGCGGUAAUACGUAGGGUGCAAGCGUUAAUCGGAAUUACUGGGCGUAAAGCGUGUGUAGGCGGUUCGGAAAGAAAGAUGUGAAAUCCCAGGGCUCAACCUGGGAAAUGCAUUUUUAACUGCCGAGCUAGAGUAUGUCAGAGGGGGGUAGAAUUCAACGUGUAGCAGUGAAAUGCGUAGAUAUGUGGAGGAAUACCGAUGGCGAAGGCAGCCCCCUGGGAUAAUACUGACGCUCAGACACGAAAGCGUGGGGAGCAAACAG